RNAcentral lists this ribosomal RNA (994 nucleotides) under uncultured archaeon. RNAcentral describes it as "bacterial SSU rRNA". It matches the Rfam family "Archaeal small subunit ribosomal RNA", at positions 342 to 1336 of the family's 1478-position model. The record is from RNAcentral.
AGAAAACUUUGCAAUGUGCGAAAGCACGACAAGGUUAAUCCGAGUGGUUUCUGCUAAAGAAACCUUUUGUUAGUCCUAGAAACACUAGUGAAUAAGGGGUGGGCAAGUUCUGGUGUCAGCCGCCGCGGUAAAACCAGCACCUCAAGUGGUCAGGAUGAUUAUUGGGCCUAAAGCAUCCGUAGCUCGUUUUGUAAGUUUUCGGUUAAAUCCAUGCGCUUAACGUAUGGGCUGCCGGGAAUACUGCAUAACUAGGAAGUGGGAGAGGUAGACGGUACUCGGUAGGAAGGGGUAAAAUCCUUUGGUCUAUUGAUGACCACCUGUGGCGAAGGCGGUCUACCAGAAUACGUUCGACGGUGAGGGAUGAAAGCUGGGGGAGCAAACCGGAUUAGAUACCCGGGUAGUCCCAGCUGUAAACUAUGCAAACUCAGUGAUGCAUUGGCUUGUGGCCAAUGCAGUGCUGCAGGGAAGCCGUUAAGUUUGCCGCCUGGGAAGUACGUACGCAAGUAUGAAACUUAAAGGAAUUGGCGGGGGAGCACCACAAGGGGUGAAGCCUGCGGUUCAAUUGGAGUCAACGCCAGAAAUCUUACCCGGAGAGACAGCAGAAUGAAGGUCAAGCUGAAGACUUUACCAGACAAGCUGAGAGGUGGUGCAUGGCCGUCGCCAGCUCGUGCCGUGAGAUGUCCUGUUAAGUCAGGUAACGAGCGAGAUCCCUGCCUCUAGUUGCCACCAUUACUCUCAGGAGUAGUGGGGCGAAUUAGCGGGACCGCCGCAGUUAAUGCGGAGGAAGGAGGGGGCCACGGCAGGUCAGUAUGCCCCGAAACUCUGGGGCCACACGCGGGCUGCAAUGGUAGUGACAAUUGGUUCCGAAUCCGAAAGGAGGAGGUAAUCCUCAAACGCUACCACAGUUAUGACUGAGGGCUGCAACUCGCCCUCACGAAUAUGGAAUCCCUAGUAACUGCGUGUCAUUAUCGCGCGGUGAAUACGUCCCUGCUCC